RNAcentral lists this ribosomal RNA (305 nucleotides) under uncultured bacterium. RNAcentral describes it as "bacterial SSU rRNA". It matches the Rfam family "Bacterial small subunit ribosomal RNA", at positions 337 to 657 of the family's 1533-position model. The record is from RNAcentral.
UCCUACGGGGCGCAGCAGUGGGGAAUAUUGGGCAAUGGGCGCAAGCCUGACCCAGCAACGCCGCGUGAAGGAAGAAGGCUUUCGGGUUGUAAACUUCUUUUGUCAGGGACGAAGCAAGUGACGGUACCUGACGAAUAAGCCACGGCUAACUACGUGCCAGCAGCCGCGGUAAUACGUAGGUGGCAAGCGUUAUCCGGAUUUACUGGGUUUAAAGGGUGCGCAGGCGGCGAGUUAAGUCAGCGGUAAAAUUUCGGGGCUCAACCCCGACGAGCCGUUGAAACUGGCUUGCUAGAGUGGGCGAGAAG